GGGAGUGUUCUUGUUUAUUUGCUGGCUUUGUGUAUUAUGCUACUGUGCUCACUUGUUGUCUUACUGACUGGUAAGAAAAUACAGUCUAUUUAAUCAAAGACCAAAAAAGGUGCUAGGACUUAUUUUAAGAACAUAAAGUAGGGAAGACAAAUAUGGUGCUUUGGAAUAUACAUGCACAAAAAUUAGACUUUCUUUUUUUAAAAGACAAAUAUGAUGAUUGUGUAAAAAAAUAAUGCUAUUCACAAGUAGCAAUUUAAGACAAAAAUACAAAGAAAAAGAAAAGUCAAAGGAAAGUCAAAGAUUUAUCAAGUGGAGAAACAAAGAGUUUGACAAUAUCUACAUCAGAAAAGGUCAAAUCAAGGCAAAGGUAUCAUAUGUCAUAAAAAGGGUUGUUUUAUAUUGAUAAAAAGGCAAUCUAUAUGUUCUGUAUGGCUAAAUAUCAGAUAUCAUAACAUUAAAGUUUAUAAGGCAAAUGCUUUUAAGAAGUCAACAGAGCACAGUGAUAUAAGACAUGCCAUUCUCAGGCAAAGAUCAAGUGGUUGGAACAAAUCAGGAUGCAGAGGAUUAGCAAACUGAAACUAAUAAGGAUUAUUUCAUAGAUACUAAACUUUAUGAUGUCUAAUUUUGAGCCCUACAAGCACUGAAUAUAUUUCUUUUUAAGAGUCUAAAACAUUUUCAAAAUCAUACUUAUGAGUACAAUAAAAAUACUAGCUUAAGAAAAGGGAGAUAAACCAAUGGAAUAGAAUCAAGAGCCUAAUAAGAAUAAGGUCCCAGUAUAUGAAAGAAAUUGUUAUAAGGCAUUAUGGUAUAAAAGUGGCAUUACAAAUAUGAAUAAUGAACACACACUUAUUUAAUUAUGUGGGAAAAAUAAAUUAGAUCUUUAGUUAAGUUCAUAUAUAACAAAAACAUUUCAUUAGUGAGUUAUGAAUUUAAAAUUAAACAUAAUAACACUAGAAAUAAAAAUUGGUGAAUAUUUACAUUAUAUUGGAUAAGAAUUUUCUUUCUGUAUAAGGUGACCAAAAAGGAAUCUUUAAAACAAGAUUGGGGGCCAGCCCAGUGGCACAGCAGUUAAGUUUGCAAGUUCAGCUUCGGCGGCUCGGGGUUCACCAGUUUGGAUCCCGGGUGCAGACAUGGCACUGCUUGUCAAGCCAUGCUGUGGUAGGCGUCCCACAUAAAAAGUAGAGGAAGAUGAGCACAGAUGUUAGCUCAGGGCCAGUCUUCCUCAGCAAAAAGAGGAGGAAUGUGCAACUC
Molecule: long non-coding RNA, 1251 nt
Filed under: Equus asinus (donkey)
Lineage: Eukaryota; Metazoa; Chordata; Mammalia; Perissodactyla; Equidae
Description: lncRNA (ENSEASG00005032757.1)
Source: RNAcentral